CACAGGGUUAGCCGGUGCUUGCUAAGGAGGUACCGUCAGGAUCCGGGUGAUUAGCCCCAGAUUUGUUCGUCCCUCCCCACAGAGCUUUACGACCCGAAGGCCUUCAUCACUCACGCGGCGUGGCUGGGUCAGGCUUUCGCCCAUUGCCCAAUAUUCCCCACUGCUGCCUCCCGUAGGAGUCUGGGCCGUGUCGCAGUCCCAGUGUGGCUGAUCAUCCUCUCAGACCAGCUACCCGUCUUUGCCUUGGUGAGCCGUUACCUCACCAACUAGCUGAUGGGACGCGGGCUCAUCUUCCGGUGAUAGCUUCCAAGGAGAGGCCAUCUUUCCCAACAGCGCCCGUAGGCGCCGCUGACGUACGCGGUAUUAGCAAUCCUUCGGACUGUUCGUCCCCCGCCGGAAGGUAGACUUACCCACGUUGUUACGCCACCCGUCCGCCUACUUUACUAGUAGACCGAAGUCUACAUUCUCGUUCGACUUGCAUGUGUUACGGCCCGCGCUACGUUCGCUCUGAGCC
RNAcentral lists this ribosomal RNA (514 nucleotides) under uncultured Myxococcales bacterium. RNAcentral's name for it is "partial 16S ribosomal RNA". Lineage: Bacteria; Pseudomonadati; Myxococcota; Myxococcia; Myxococcales. The record is from RNAcentral.